ACGAACGCUGGCGGCGUGCCUAAUACAUGCAAGUUGAGCGCUGAAGGUUGGUACUUGUACCAACUGGAUGAGCAGCGAACGGGUGAGUAACGCGUGGGGAAUCUGCCUUUGAGCGGGGGACAACAUUUGGAAACGAAUGCUAAUACCGCAUAAAAACUUUAAACACAAGUUUUAAGUUUGAAAGAUGCAAUUGCAUCACUCAAAGAUGAUCCCGCGUUGUAUUAGCUAGUUGGUGAGGUAAAGGCUCACCAAGGCGAUGAUACAUAGCCGACCUGAGAGGGUGAUCGGCCACAUUGGGACGGAGACACGGCCCAAACUCCUACGGGAGGCAGCAGUAGGGAAUCUUCGGCAAUGGACGAAAGUCUGACCGAGCAACGCCGCGUGAGUGAAGAAGGUUUUCGGAUCGUAAAACUCUGUUGGUAGAGAAGAACGUUGGUGAGAGUGGAAAGCUCAUCAAGUGACGGUAACUACCCAGAAAGGGACGGCUAACUACGUG
RNAcentral lists this ribosomal RNA (496 nucleotides) under uncultured bacterium. RNAcentral describes it as "partial 16S ribosomal RNA". It matches the Rfam family "Bacterial small subunit ribosomal RNA", at positions 29 to 507 of the family's 1533-position model. The record is from RNAcentral.